GAUGAAGAACGUAGCGAAGUGCGAUAAGUAAUGUGAAUUGCAGAAUUCAGUGAAUCAUCGAAUCUUUGAACGCACAUUGCGCCCAUUAGUAUUCUAGUGGGCAUGCCUGUUCGAGCGUCAUUAAGUCCACUUAAGCCCUGCUUAGUGUUGGGAGACUGCUCCAGCGGUGCUACCCUGUAGCUACCCUGCAGCUCCUCAAAGACAGCGGCGGAGUUGUGGUAUCCUCUGAGCUUAGUAACUUGUUCUAGCUUUCGAGUACACCACUUCCCCUGCCGUAAAACCCUUAAUUUUUAAUGGUUGACCUCGGAUCAGGUAGGAAUACCCGCUGAACUUAAGCAUAUCAAUAAGCGGAGGA
RNAcentral lists this unclassified non-coding RNA (355 nucleotides) under soil metagenome. RNAcentral describes it as "partial contains 5.8S ribosomal RNA, internal transcribed spacer 2, and large subunit ribosomal RNA". The stretch from base 1 to 120 matches the Rfam family "5.8S ribosomal RNA", at positions 35 to 154 of the family's 154-position model. The record is from RNAcentral.